This 497-nucleotide ribosomal RNA is filed under the name uncultured bacterium. Its description in RNAcentral is "partial 16S ribosomal RNA". It matches the Rfam family "Bacterial small subunit ribosomal RNA", at positions 28 to 507 of the family's 1533-position model. The record is from RNAcentral.
GAUGAACGCUGGCGGCGUGCCUAAUACAUGCAAGUCGAGCGAACGGACGAGAAGCUUGCUUCUCUGAUGUUAGCGGCGGACGAGUGAGUAACACGUGGAUAACCUACCUAUAAGACUGGGAUAACUUCGGGAAACCGUAGCUAAUACCGGAUAAUAUUUUGAACCGCAUGGUUCAAAAGUGAAAGACGGUCUUGCUGUCACUUAUAGAUGGAUCCGCGCUGCAUUAGCUAGUUGGUAAGGUAACGGCUUACCAAGGCAACGAUGCAUAGCCGACCUGAGAGGGUGAUCGGCCACACUGGAACUGAGACACGGUCCAGACUCCUACGGGAGGCAGCAGUAGGGAAUCUUCCGCAAAGGGCGAAAGCCUGACGGAGCAACGCCGCGUGAGUGAUGAAGGUCUUCGGAUCGUAAAACUCUGUUAUUAGGGAAGAACAUAUGUGUAAGUAACUGUGCACAUCUUGACGGUACCUAAUCAGAAAGCCACGGCUAACUACGUG